Molecule: long non-coding RNA, 561 nt
Filed under: Bos taurus (domestic cattle)
Lineage: Eukaryota; Metazoa; Chordata; Mammalia; Artiodactyla; Bovidae
Description: long non-coding RNA NONBTAT003009
Source: RNAcentral
CAGAUUCACUUAGGCUGGGCUGUUCUGCCAUGUUAGUGUUCUCCUGAGUAUUCAGACUUACAAUCAGGAUGUCCUCUUCAACCUAUAUUUUUUCUUCACUCAUAUUUUUUCAUUGGAAUAACCUAAUAAUUUAUGGCUCUCAGAAAGCUGAUAUUACACUGGGCAAAACACCAGGGUAAAUCAGACCAGAUGGUGUGGCAAUUCCCUAUAAAGAAAAAAUAACUUUAUGUUAAUAUAUUUUUAAUGUUUGGACACCUUACAGACUUUUUGUUGAAUUGCUUUGUGAGCUACAAUAACACAAUUAUUUGGUUCAAAAUUCUACGUUGACUGUCAAAUCAUUUUCAGAGGUAGAAUAUUUUUUAUUCUUCCUGGAAAGCAUUAUGUCACAAAUCUCUUCACUGUAGAAUUGAUGAAAAUAAUUAAUUGAAGUUUGGUUUGUGGAGUUUGUAAUGAUUUCUGGUUUUGUGGCAGAGGUUUACAGAGAAAACAGUUGUCAGAAGUGUGUGGCAGCUUCAUUCCUGGCAUUUAAGUAUAUGCUGAAUAAAAUACAUAUUGUACUUU